GAUGAACGCUGGCGGCGUGCCUAAUACAUGCAAGUCGAGCGAACAGACGAGGAGCUUGCUCCUCUGACGUUAGCGGCGGACGGGUGAGUAACACGUGGAUAACCUACCUAUAAGACUGGGAUAACUUCGGGAAACCGGAGCUAAUACCGGAUAAUAUAUUGAACCGCAUGGUUCAAUAGUGAACGACGGUUUUGCUGUCACUUAUAGAUGGAUCCGCGCCGCAUUAGCUAGUUGGUAAGGUAACGGCUUACCAAGGCGACGAUGCGUAGCCGACCUGAGAGGGUGAUCGGCCACACUGGAACUGAGACACGGUCCAGACUCCUACGGGAGGCAGCAGUAGGGAAUCGUCCGAAAUGGGCGAAAGCCUGACGGAGCAACGCCGCGUGAGUGAUGAAGGUCUUCGGAUCGUAAAACUCUGUUAGUAGGGAAGAACAAAUGUGUAAGUAACUAUGCACGUCUUGACGGUACCUAAUCAGAAAGCCACGGCUAACUACGUG
Molecule: ribosomal RNA, 497 nt
Filed under: uncultured bacterium
Lineage: Bacteria
Description: partial 16S ribosomal RNA
Rfam family: Bacterial small subunit ribosomal RNA
Source: RNAcentral